UAUUCUGGGUCCAAUUGUCUUGUAGGGUGACUGACCAUUCCAAUUUACCCAGGACAGAGGGGGUUCCCAGGGUCUGGGACCUUUUUGAAACUGGAAAAUCCCAGGAAAACUGGGAGGAUUUGGUCACCCUACUUGGUCUCUCAUGAUGGAUCCCUGUUACCCUCACCGGGUUUAGCUGAUGGAGGUGUCCUGUGGCCCAGCACAGCCAAGGCUGACGUACUUGGACAAGUCAUCAAGGGGUACGAGCUGAGAAGAGUCAACCCUGAAUGACAGAUGAUCCAUCUGAGCCAGAUCUUGGGUUGGAGGGAACCUGACCUAAACUAGUCAUUUGUUAUACUUGCCUCUAACUCUACAAUCAGGAAGGAAAAGCCAAAGACAAGAAAAACUUGAGUGAACAUGCACAGCUUCUACUCUCUGUUCAAUGCAAUCACUUGUAGGAAAUGAGAUCUGAAGGGGCAAGAGAGAUCACCUAAGUGAAUCCUCUGGUUGCAGAGAAAAAAGAAACUGAAGCUGAGGAACGGCAUCCUUAUCUCCAAAGUGGGAACCUUGAUAUAUACCGUUUGCUUGCAGGAUCCUCUUUGACGUAUAUCCAGAAUCUGGUAGUUCCCAAGCCCUUCAAAGCUGCCACACCAUCCCACCAUCUCGCCCUGGUCUCCUGCUUCUUUCUGCAUCCACCGUGGCAGCCUUGCGUUCCCAUUUCUGCACAGUGGCCAGGAAGACCUGUUCAUGCAUCCCUCAGAUCCUGUCUCUCUUCUGAGGGAAACCCCCAGAGGCUCCUCACUCACUCAGAUAUAGAGUCCUGGAUCUGCAUCUGCUGCAAAAAGACCAUCCUGAUUUCCUCUCACCACUCCCGCCUGCCCUUGCUCAGUGUGCUUCAACCACACGGGCCUCUCCUGUCUCAGGACACUUGCACAGCCUGGUGCCUCUGUCUGGGCUCCUCUCCCCCGACAUGGCCACACAGCCUGCAGGUCCCUGGUCAAAUGUCACCUCUUCCUAAUACCCUCCCUGUUCCCCUCAUAUGAAGGAGCUAAUUGUUCCUCUGCUCAGGCACUUUUUACCUCCCUGAGCCUGCUUUAUUUUUCUCUUCCUUUAGCUCCUGUCCCCACCUGACAUAUGUGGCCGCUGCUAGUUUCUGGCUGCCGCAUACACCCAGCCAGGGGGCACUGUUUGCUGUAUAGAAGUACAGUAGGCACUAGAGUGCCCCCUCCAUGUGUGCAGGGUACGACCCGUGCUUGUUGCGUCCUUGCUGGAGCUCCAACAAUACAACCAGACCUAUGAUCAGGGAACCUGUAGAAUGAAGCUCACCUUCUCUUCACUGCACCUUCUACCUGGCAUCUUUCUCUUAGGUGGUUUUUCCUCUUGGGUGCACAUUAGCAUCCCCCAGGACUCUGUGAGGAAGGCCUGAGCCCUUUCCCAUUAAUUCCUAGUGUUGUAGAAAGGGAGCCUGAAGUCACUGAGCCUGAACACCAUGGUCAAAAUGGCCACACCAGCCCUUCCCCUGGCUCCAUGUGUCCCUUACUACUUCCUGAAGCCCCACCUUCCUCCAUGUGCCAUGCUGUCCUCUGACCUCCCAGCAGGAAUGAAGUUACCAUUGUCAUCAUUCACUGUGACUGGUUGCUACGGCGACAGGGACAACAGCCAUCCACAGAGCAAGUUGGGGAAGCCUGCAUGGGGCCAGUUGCAGCCCCUGGGAAAGGUGCUCCGUGAAGCACGGCCCAACAGCCUCCCUUCCUCUGGAGAGAUCUGAUGACCUGGCCUAGCACUCAGAAGAGUAGUGGGAAGGAGAAAUGGACCAGAGAGAAAUGAAAUGCAUAGAAAAGUGAAGAGAUGGGGCAACUCACAUGGCUAAACUCAGACGUGGCCCUGCUUAACAUUACACCCAGGGCCGGAGCCUCCUAUCACACCCUCUACAGCUGAAUCCAGUGCUCCCUGGAAGACUCAGAGAGACAGACUUUGGACAGCGCUUGCUCUUUCCCUUGGGAGGUGGCCAUAGUUAUAUUUUUCUUUUUGAUUUUCUGUGUGGUGGUGGUUGACAGUGACAACAACGCCUGCGGCUCCCAGAACGAGAAGCAAUGGAGACAUCCACCUGUCACUGGUCCCCGCCUUGUGACUCUCCAUCUGCACCAGUCAUGGGUGACUUUCAUUCACAGAGUCCUUCCCGGACUCCGGCUAGAGGCUUUGGACCACUGGUGACAGAAAUAUCAGCAAAACUAUGGCCCAAAUGAGGGGACCUGUGGUCUCCCGGACACCACAUUCUCAAGACACUAGAAAUAAGAGCAUGACUCCAGGGGAGGGGAAGUGAAAUGCAGGGCCCUAUGAGAAAUAGGGAGGGACUGAGCUGCUUCAACCUGGACACAAGUGUCUGGAGGGUCCUACAUGCGGGCUGUCAGGGCAAGAGGGAUGGGGCUUGCUCUGUGCACCCACAGGACAAAAGCAGAACCAACAGGUAGAAUUAUAGGAAAUAGAUCAAGGAAGCUGCUAAGACUCUCCGAAGAUGAAAUUAAUGAGGUCAGCAUGAUGCAAGCUUUUGUCCCUCCAAACAGAAUACCUCCUUGUGCACAGAAUUACAUGGUUUUCCCACA
This is a long non-coding RNA of Canis lupus familiaris (dog), 2582 nucleotides long. RefSeq lists it as uncharacterized. The transcript has 6 exons. The record is from RefSeq and is a predicted model, not a curated record. NCBI's taxonomy places the organism in Eukaryota, Metazoa, Chordata, Mammalia, Carnivora, Canidae.